Molecule: ribosomal RNA, 468 nt
Filed under: uncultured bacterium
Lineage: Bacteria
Description: partial 16S ribosomal RNA
Rfam family: Bacterial small subunit ribosomal RNA
Source: RNAcentral
ACGAACGCUGGCGGCGUGCUUAACACAUGCAAGUCGAACGGAAAGGCCCUGCUUGCAGGGUGCUCGAGUGGCGAACGGGUGAGUAACACGUGGGUGAUCUGCCCCUUACUUUGGGAUAAGCCUGGGAAACUGGGUCUAAUACUGGAUAGGACCAUGCUGUAGGUGGUGUGGUGGAAAGAUUAGUUUCGGUAAGGGAUGAGCUCGCGGCCUAUCAGCUUGUUGGUGGGGUAAUGGCCUACCAAGGCGUCGACGGGUAGCCGGCCUGAGAGGGUGGACGGCCACAUUGGGACUGAGAUACGGCCCAGACUCCUACGGGAGGCAGCAGUGGGGAAUAUUGCACAAUGGGCGCAAGCCUGAUGCAGCGACGCCGCGUGGGGGAUGACGGCCUUCGGGUUGUAAACUCCUUGCAGCCAUGACGAAGCCCUUGUGGUGACGGUAGUGGUAGAAGAAGCACCGGCUAACUACGUG